RNAcentral lists this transfer RNA (74 nucleotides) under Oscillospiraceae bacterium. RNAcentral describes it as "tRNA-Cys". It matches the Rfam family "tRNA". From Rfam's summary of the family: Transfer RNA (tRNA) molecules are approximately 80 nucleotides in length. Their secondary structure includes four short double-helical elements and three loops (D, anti-codon, and T loops). Further hydrogen bonds mediate the characteristic L-shaped molecular structure. tRNAs have two regions of fundamental functional importance: the anti-codon, which is responsible for specific mRNA codon recognition, and the 3' end, to which the tRNAs corresponding amino acid is attached (by aminoacyl-tRNA synthetases). tRNAs cope with the degeneracy of the genetic code in two manners: having more than one tRNA (with a specific anti-codon) for a particular amino acid; and 'wobble' base-pairing, i.e. permitting non-standard base-pairing at the 3rd anti-codon position. The record is from RNAcentral. Lineage: Bacteria; Bacillati; Bacillota; Clostridia; Eubacteriales; Oscillospiraceae.
GGCGCCAUAGCCAAGGGGUAAGGCAGAGGUCUGCAAAACCUUUAUCCCCAGUUCGAAUCUGGGUGGCGCCUCCA